Molecule: long non-coding RNA, 232 nt
Organism: Humulus lupulus (European hop)
Lineage: Eukaryota; Viridiplantae; Streptophyta; Magnoliopsida; Rosales; Cannabaceae
Exons: 2
Source: RefSeq, a predicted model, not a curated record
GAAUCCGUCCCUUUUGAUUUUAUUUUGUUCAUUUAAUUUGUGUUCGAUAUGGAUUUGAUUCGUUUUAUUCUUUUGGAUUGUGAGUUGGGUAACUAGGUUUUGUCACUACGGAAGCUUUAAGUUGAUUCUUAUAGGAGUGAUGGAGAUCUUUGAAUCUGGGUCUUUUCUGGAUCUCGAGUGAUGAAAAAUGACUGGAGCACAGAGGACAUUUAGUGGUUAUCUCGACUAAUGC